Molecule: transfer RNA, 75 nt
Filed under: Streptomyces rubradiris
Lineage: Bacteria; Bacillati; Actinomycetota; Actinomycetes; Kitasatosporales; Streptomycetaceae
Description: tRNA-Pro
Source: RNAcentral
GGUGGCGUUGGCCAGGAUGCGGGCCAGCUCGGGGAGUUGGCCGAUAAAGCGUUCGAUCCGCUUCUGCCGCUGCCA